Molecule: non-coding RNA, 6828 nt
Organism: Equus caballus (horse)
Lineage: Eukaryota; Metazoa; Chordata; Mammalia; Perissodactyla; Equidae
Source: RefSeq, a predicted model, not a curated record
UGUUGUCAACAAAUGUACCAGGGUAAAAGGCUUUUCACACUGGGUGAGCUCUAAGAUAGGUCAAAUAAAGAUAUGCUUGCCAGUGGGGUCUUUCAGGAAACCACCACACAGGUCAAAUAAUGACAAUUCUCUGGGGAUGAGGUUUUGAAGCUGCUCCCACCCUGUUUUUGCCCCCUCUAGUGGCUGGCAGGUUUCUAAUUUUCACUGCAAUUGGGGGCUGUUGAUUUACAAGACCACCACAGAGCUGAAGAGCGGGCAUGGUAAAAUGCCACAAAGUUUGCUGUUCUUACUGAGAUUCAGUGUUUUUUCAAGAAUAAAUGUCUACAGAUGGAAUAAAUAGGCUAACCAAAAAGGCUUUUGUUAAUUUCCAGAGUUUUGAAAAUGUUGACUAUGACAAUUUUUGGUGGCUUUCUCCUUGCUUUGAUGGAGGAAAGAGUUUUUGGAGGUUCUUACUCUGCCUUUUCCACUCAUGUCACUCGAUAGCUAUCAUGAACCCUACCAGAUCAGCUAGGAUUAGAUCCCUUUACAUGUGACAAAAAAACCCUGAAGUAACAGUGGCUUAAAUAAGAGUUGUAUUCUCUCACACUAGAAAUCUAAAAGUACGUUCAAAAAGUUCAGAAUGUUCAAGGACAGCAGCUUCUUUUAGCUUUGGAUUCUGCCAUCCCUAGAGUGUGGCCCACAUCUUCAUGGUCUAAGAUAACAGCUAGGGCUCCAGCUAUCAAAUCUGCAUUCCAGGAAGCAAGAUGGAAGAAGAGGUGAAGAAGAGCAUACACCCUUCCUUUAACAACCCUUCCCAGAAAUUGCACGUGAUAUUUCAGAACAUAGUCAAACAGCCACGCCUAGCUAUGUGGGAGGUUGAAAAAUAUGGUCAUUAUUAGGAGGUCGUGUGUCCAGCUAAAAACCAAGGGUUUGUUACUAAGGAAGGACAGAAACUAGCUGUCUCUGCCACACGCAUUUGACAGGUGAAGAAGCUGAGGUUUAGAGAAGUUCAGUAAUUUACCCAGGGACACCCAGGCACUAUGUAGGUGAUAGGAUUCAAAUCCGGUUGUCUGACCCUCAAGCCUGUACUUUUAACCGCUUUGCCAUUCAGAUUCCAAGAAGUUAAAUAACUUGAUGAGGUCACAUAGUUGGCAAGAGCAGAUCUAUCUGGCCACAAAGAUCACCCUUUGUCUGUUAUUUACCCCAAACCAUCUAUUUUACUCUAGUGGGCCACCUGGAAGAGUGACAAAAAACAGACUUCACUGUUCAAGCUGAAAAUGCCCAGUAGAGGUCCAUUAAGAUAGCUAAAUAAAGUGCCUCGAGGGUCCUUCAAACACAGGACAACAAUGAGCACCUGAAGGACAGCAAAUGAACCAAGAGCACAGAUCAUCAGAAACAGAGCCAUUAGGAAGCAAACGCUGUGGGACUUGCUUGCUUUCUGAAGUGGAAUGAAGGGGCCAGUGAGGCACAGGCUGUGAAUUGCCGUUGUUCUGAAAUCAGUGCUGAAAGUUGUGAUCUCGAACAGAACGCUAGGUACUUUCUGUUUUGUUUUUCCCACUGAUCUCCUGGACUGCCAGCCCUCUGCGACCAAUCGCCAUUCCAGAAUGAUGAUCGGCAAGCUGCCUCCUGGAUUCCUCUACUCUGUGCAACCCAGGACCCACCCCAGCUUUCAGGCCGUCGUACUUGCACGUGGGGGAAAAGGGGGUGAGAGGGGAGACUCAGCAUCUUGGCUCCUAUUUGUCUGGGAGGGAAAUCUGACAUUUUUAGUAGACAAUUAAAAUGCUUACUUUGAAGAAAGUAGAGACCCGGUUGCCUGGACACAGUCAGGAAUACAUACCAUUGAAUCUGCGGGUGACCUAUAGUUGCUUUGUCCCUAUUUGAGUAUCCAAAGUGUUAAGGGGAAAAUGAGACAGCUCUAAAAAAUAACUCUUGUGCUUUCUCUGCUGGUCCUCUGGGUGUGCGUGUGUAUGCAUCACACGCCCACACAUAUGCACGUAAUAAAUGGCUUAGUGUAAAAACCCUGCGACACACAUCAAUUCUGUAGAUUACCAGGGAGUCCUAACUAGGGUCGCUAGCAAAGCAACUUCUAUAAAGACUAUAAAUAGUAGGCACGUGCCUCUGUAAGCAGUGCAGCUAUUUAUUUUAUUUAAUAGGAGAUUCUCUUGUUACAAGGACAUCACAGAUUACUGAAUAAUUUAUUUCAUAGUAGAUUAUAUGGGCUUCACUCUUUGCCAGUGAACGCAUACCCAAAUGUCUACAGGAGAUAAGGUGAGCAAAAGUUAGACCUCAGGCUUGGGUGAGCUAUUUAUUUUUUUAUUUGAUUUGUAUUAUCUGUUAUAGUCAUAUAUACAAAUUUUACUUAAUGUUAUCUCAGCUGCAAAGGUCAUAUAUACAAUAGAGGCACCACUUUAUUAUCGACAUUUAGCUAACUCAAAGUAAUGCAUACGAUGACACAGCGCUGAGAAAUAGAGAAUAGAAUAAUAAAUGACCUUGUUAUACACGGUGAUUUUAACACAGGACUGUGAUAAAUAGGGGCAUGUUUGUUCUCUAUGAAAAUAUAGGGAACCAAGAGAGGGCAAAAUUCGAUAAAGAUGUUAGAUUUGGAAAAUGGAGUCAAGAAAAAAGAUUUGAAUGGGUAUUUUUCUGUGACGCUCUAUCAUAAUCUUUUCAAUGAUUUGGAUUUGAAAAACAAUCCCUUCUAAGCUUACAAAGCCUAAACAGUUUGCCUUUACUGUGUACAGGUCUCAGGUGAGCAGAAGCACCUUGGAAGACGGGCACAUUUUUCUUCCAAAUGUAAUUUUGAUAGAGAUAAAAUUUACUUUCAAAGAAAAUUUAAUUUUGACGAUAGAAGGAUGGCAAAAUGCCUGAAGACAGCCACAUAACGUAAGAGGAAAUUCAUGUGGCCACUAACUGUGGUCCUGGUCUGCCAUCUACACGUAGUGCCUUUGCUCUGCAGAGACCUGAUGCCUGAUGUGUGUAGCUGGUCUCUGGAGGGAACGUGCCCCGAAGUGAUUCCCAGAGGAGCCGAUAUCUCUUCCAGAAUAAACCACCAGAAACAAUAUUUGAACAGAAAUGUUAAUGCGAGCUUCAAACAGAUUAGAGUGGUUUCCCACAUCUGAGGAGGCUGGAUCCAUUGCUAAGUUGACCUACGGCCCAUGUAGUUGUGUUUGUCUGUGUGCCUGUAAGAGCUGCUGGGGGGCAUCUCUCCCUUGCUCUCUAUCCUCAUGUAAUUCUCAUAUUUGUUCAUAAAGAUCCUGCUGUAUGUUCCUGGGUCCCGUCUCAUCUCCCCCAUCAGAUGUUUAACUCCCUGUGGACAGAGCCUUCCGUGUCCUUUGUUGUCGCUGGUACACGCCCAGCAUGCUCAGCACCGUGGCCUGCUCUGCGGCAGUCGACACAGUCCAUGAGCUAUGGAAAAACACCGCGUUGAAAAAUAGGCCUGGUGGGAUACGGGCAACAGUUUCCUAAACAUUACCUACCAUCCUCUCAGCCCAUCCUCGUGUUCACCUGUUAUUCUAGUGACCAGAAUCCCGUCACAACCAGCCUCUCGGUUCUGGAAGACUUUAAAAUCUAUAGCUUUCUCCAGACAAGAGAAUAGCCCUCAAUUUCCAGGACCAAAAAAGGAAUGUGCUCCCACUCAGCGGGUCUGGGCCGGCUGCCUGAGGUGGAGAUGGGGCAGGGGUUCCAAGCACUCCUCAGUCUCCACCCCGGCUAGCCUCCCUCCCGCCUCCCACUCACACAGGGUCACGGAGAAGGCUGUGCACAAGCCUUUGUCCAUCCCUGACAACCACUGAUACAAGGCAGCGACUGGAUGCCUCACAUCCUGCCUGGAACACCACCCUUUCUUCCUCCCACCCCUUUCUAAAAAAUAAAUAAAUCCUCUGUGUAAUGUGCAGUCUUUCAAAGACACAAUGGGGCACCAUGCCUUUAGCACAAUACAGGUGCCCCUGGCAUCUGGCAAAUAGGGCCCUAGUUCCCUGGCCUGGACUUUAGUGUUCUGCUCAGAUCCCACAGCUGAGAGGAGGCUGGAGCUGGUGGGGGGCACUAACAAGCCUGAGGGGCGCAGGCAUCUCCACUUGGCACUUGCAGCCCACAGAUCUCCUCUCCACAUGGGCUCUUCGGCUGUCACCCAUCCUCCCGCUUUGGUCUUUGGGGCGGCUAUCCUUCUCCACCUGCCUGGGUCCUGCACACCUCAGGGCCUGCGUGGCUCAAGGCAGCUCGCUUCAAUAGGAAUGCAAACCAUGGCUGAGGAAGAAAGCAAAACUGGAGGCCAGAGAAGCUGAGCGUUGGGUGUAAGGGCUGAGGCCAGACCACAAAAACGAAGGCCCAUUGUGGGGUCAGGGGUUGGAUGGGUGCCGAGCGCAGCAAGUAAUGUUGUAGGAGACCGGUUGGUGGAAACGGUUCUGGUGAGGUCCAUGAGCAAUACCAGGUUGGGGCCUCUUUUAUGGGAUCUGGUGAUGUUUUAGAUGGGGUGGAGCAAAGAAGGAGAUGGGCUUAACAGCAUCAAGAUGACUGGGCAAGACAUGACAAUCCUUCAGGUCCGUUUCAGGCAGAUUUUAAAUCUGUGAUGUUCAGACUUGGUUGUGGGGAGGGAAGGAGCAGUUGUGAUUUUUCCCUGACCUUACCCCAAACAACGAUGACCAGGUGCCCAAUCUAUGACUCUGAAAGGGCAAACCAGACCCCGUCCUAAGCAAAGCCCAGACAAGCCCCCUGCUCAGUGGUGGGGAGUAGGUGAAUGUGGCCCCUCCACGUGGUGUGAGCCAGAACCUAACUUUAGCCUGCGAUGAGUAUAUGCAAAGUGGGUACAGCUGCCCCAUCGCCUCCCCGGGGGCCACUUCCGUUUUACAUCCUGCACCUGUGGGGAUUUGCAUGCCGUUCCUUCCUCCCCUCCCACCCCACACUUUCUGCACUUCUGCCCUGGUGGGUGGGUUCCAUGGAGGGGAGGGACCUCAUGCAGGAGGUCUUUGUUAUGAGUUACAAGGAGGGUGAAGGACAGCGAGACCAUCUCGCCCCUGUGAAUUGGGAUACCAUCAGUUCGUGAGCCUACAGUCCAAUUUGCAGAUGAUCCAGGCUCCUUAUUUCCCCUUCCCCUGGCUGCUGGCCUUUUGUUCUUGUCAUGGUUGAUUAGCUCCCUAAAUAGAGAUUGGACAGAGAAAAUGAAAGGAGAAAAAUGGGGAAAUUAGUAGCUCUGGUAAAAGGUCUGUUGGGGAAGGAAGUUAAAACCAAUUAAUCAACUGAGAUUUCCAUUAUCCCAUACCCUCUCUCCCCCUUCUGGUGCAUAGCCAGGGAUCAGAAUUCAAUGUCGGGUGUAGCCAGGAAAUGCAUUUUACACCCAUUCGCCAAUGAGUUCUCUGGUCUUCAGCUUGAAAGCUAGUCAUCCAGGGGUCAGGAUGCUCCACUGGGGCCUGUGCCACCAGGUGAUACUACGCACAAGACUGGGCUGCAGGCUGAACAACCAGAAGCCCUGACUGUGAAGACAACUGGGCUACUACGAGGAGGAUGUGUGACGUCUCUUUGGCACCAUGGAAAGACACAGGGAUGGGCGGAGGGAGUGGAGAGAGUAGAAGCGGCAAAGAAGUGUCUUCCUAUGUCAUGCUCUGGGGGAACGCCAAAGUCCUGAAGUCUGACCCCAAAGGAUUACCACAUUUUAGAGGAACAUCAAGGAACAGAUCUGAGCAGUGGGAAGAGACGAGAUCGUGAGAGCCUCAAGUGCCCCACUGGCAAGGAGAGUGGAUCUUGCUGCCAGGAAUCUCAGGGCUAGAAUUCUCUGUAGCCGCCUCUCUCCUUUCACCGUAUUUAUUCCUUUUCUUCACUGGACCAUGUCCCUCAAGAAAAAAAUGCAAAGAUGGGCUGCCCAGUUGUAGGAAGGGUGUGUAAGGCCCCACUAAAGUCAAGUGGGCUGUGAACCUACGGGAAAUAUCAAAACUGGUGCAAAAGGAGGAAGCGAAUCUCUUCUGAGGAAGGAGCUGCUAAAUUAAGCUCUGUGGGUUGUGGCAGAAUUAUUGCCCCCAUUUGGAAGCCAAUUUCUACCCUGCCCAUAAUGGGUCCUCCAAACCAUUGGCCCUUCAGGAGGGUCGACCAGCUCUCUCUUAAGGGGUGAUCAUUGAUGUCAUGGGCCUGAAACCACUCUACUAAGUGAAAAUCACACCACCACCAGCUAAGUUCCUACCCAGAAAACGAAGUCUGUCCAAUUUAAUACAACGCCCAUACCCAUAUACCUUUGAUGUACAGCUGGUGACGAUCUGAGAACACAGAGCUACAACUCAUGUCACCCUUGUCAGUUUCAAAACCCACCUGAGUGUCAUGCACUACAGGGAAAGCCCUAGCAGUGUGGGCAGCUGAGAACAGCAUAGGCACCAUAAUUUACCAAACCACCCUCCAAAUCAAGCCCAGUGUUAAAGUCAGCCCAUGACUUUGAGGAAUUGACAUGGUCCCUUCCGAUGAUUCAAUGAUCCCACCACCACCACCUUCUUCCUGAGAUCUCUAGCUCUCCAGGGAGAUCCUGGAGUGGAUGUGUUGUCACUACAUCAGAUUAUCCUUCACCACAUAAAGUACUGAGCAACAGGAGAACCACUGGAAAUAACGGUUUCUCCGAUACAACUCUGAGAAGAGACGGUGUUUUUAUUUCGUAUGGAUCUGGGGUAUGUUCAGAGAAGGAGAGGCAAUGACCUUGUCAUUCUUUGCUGAAACGGAUUUCCCAGAGAGUCAUAUAUCUAAGUGACAAAAUCAGCUGGCACGUGUGGAGCAUCUGCUCCGGAAGACGCUGUGAUCCAGGUGAGUGUGCUGGAGGGCAGCAGGUUAGGGUCUCCUGGUAUAGAGGACUGAGACACAGAAGCGGGUCUGUCUGUCUGU